RNAcentral lists this ribosomal RNA (416 nucleotides) under uncultured bacterium. RNAcentral describes it as "bacterial SSU rRNA". It matches the Rfam family "Bacterial small subunit ribosomal RNA", at positions 507 to 921 of the family's 1533-position model. The record is from RNAcentral.
GCCAGCAGCCGCGGUAACACGUAGGAGGCGAGCGUUAUUCGGAUUUACUGGGCGUAAAGCGCGUGUAGGCGGCUAUAUAAGUUGGAUGUGAAAGCUCCCGGCUUAACUGGGAGAGGACGUUCAAAACUAUAUAGCUUGAGUACGAGAGAGGAAAAUGGAAUUCCGGGUGUAGUGGUGAAAUGCGUAGAUAUCCGGAGGAACACCAGUGGCGAAGGCGAUUUUCUGGCUCGAGACUGACGCUCAGACGCGAAAGCUAGGGUAGCAAGCGGGAUUAGAGACCCCGGUAGUCCUAGCUGUAAACGAUGUAGACUAGGCGUUGGUGGAGUAAAAUCCAUCAGUGCCGCAGCAAACGCGAUAAGUCUACCGCCUGGGGACUACGGCCGCAAGGUUAAAACUCAAAGGAAUUGACGGGGCCC